GGAUAACCUACCCUUAGGACCGGGAUAACCUUGGGAAACUGAGGAUAAUACCGGAUAGGCAAUUAUUCCUGGAAUGGUUUUUUGUUUAAAUGUUUUUUCGCCUAAGGAUGGGUCUGCGGCCGAUUAGGUAGUUGGUUAGGUAACGGCUUACCAAGCCAUUGAUCGGUACGGGUUGUGAGAGCAAGAGCCCGGAGAUGGAACCUGAGACAAGGUUCCAGGCCCUACGGGGUGCAGCAGGCGCGAAACCUCCGCAAUGUGAGAAAUCGCGACGGGGGGAUCCCAAGUGCCAUUCUUAACGGGAUGGCUUUUCAUUAGUGUAAAGAGCUUUUGGAAUAAGGGCUGGGCAAGACCGGUGCCAGCCGCCGCGGUAACACCGGCAGCUCUAGUGGUAGCAGUUUUUAUUGGGCCUAAAGCGUCCGUAGCCGGUUUAAUAAGUCUCUGGUGAAAUCCUGUAGCUUAACUGUGGGAAUUGCUGGAGAUACUAUUAGACUUGAGACCGGGAGAGGUUAGAGGUACUCCCAGGGUAGAGGUGAAAUUCUGUAAUCCUGGGAGGACCGCCUGUUGCGAAGGCGUCUAACCGGAACGGUUCUGACGGUGAGGGACGAAAGUUAGGGGCGCGAACCGGAUUAGAUACCCGGGUAGUCCUAACCGUAAACGAUGCGGACUUGGUGUUGGGGUGGCUUUGAGCUGCU
Molecule: ribosomal RNA, 692 nt
Filed under: uncultured archaeon
Lineage: Archaea
Description: bacterial SSU rRNA
Rfam family: Archaeal small subunit ribosomal RNA
Source: RNAcentral